Molecule: transfer RNA, 76 nt
Filed under: Actinomadura madurae
Lineage: Bacteria; Bacillati; Actinomycetota; Actinomycetes; Streptosporangiales; Thermomonosporaceae
Description: tRNA-Met(cat)
Rfam family: tRNA
About the family: Transfer RNA (tRNA) molecules are approximately 80 nucleotides in length. Their secondary structure includes four short double-helical elements and three loops (D, anti-codon, and T loops).
Source: RNAcentral
CGCGGGGUGGAGCAGUUCGGUAGCUCGCUGGGCUCAUAACCCAGAGGUCGCAGGUUCAAAUCCUGCCCCCGCUACC